Molecule: ribosomal RNA, 497 nt
Filed under: uncultured bacterium
Lineage: Bacteria
Description: partial 16S ribosomal RNA
Rfam family: Bacterial small subunit ribosomal RNA
Source: RNAcentral
GAUGAACGCUGGCGGCGUGCCUAAUACAUGCAAGUCGAGCGAUCAGAUGAGGAGCUUGCUCCUCUGACGUUAGCGGCGGACGGGUGAGUAACACGUGGAUAACCUACCUAUAAGACUGGGAUAACUUCGGGAAACCGGAGCUAAUACCGGAUAAUAUAUUGAACCGCAUGGUUCAAUAGUGAAAGACGGUUUUGCUGUCACUUAUAGAUGGAUCCGCGCCGCAUUAGCUAGUUGGUAAGGUAACGGCUUACCAAGGCAACGAUGCGUAGCCGACCUGAGAGGGUGAUCGGCCACACUGGAACUGAGACACGGUCCAGACUCCUACGGGAGGCAGCAGUAGGGAAUCUUCCGCAAUGGGCGAAAGCCGGACGGAGCAACGCCGCGUGAGUGAUGAAGGUCUUCGGAUCGUAAAACUCUGUUAUUAGGGAAGAACAAAUGUGUAAGUAACUAUGCACGUCUUGACGGUACCUAAUCAGAAAGCCACGGCUAACUACGUG